This 73-nucleotide transfer RNA is filed under the name Cordylochernes scorpioides. RNAcentral's name for it is "tRNA-Thr". It matches the Rfam family "tRNA". Rfam says of the family: Transfer RNA (tRNA) molecules are approximately 80 nucleotides in length. Their secondary structure includes four short double-helical elements and three loops (D, anti-codon, and T loops). Further hydrogen bonds mediate the characteristic L-shaped molecular structure. tRNAs have two regions of fundamental functional importance: the anti-codon, which is responsible for specific mRNA codon recognition, and the 3' end, to which the tRNAs corresponding amino acid is attached (by aminoacyl-tRNA synthetases). tRNAs cope with the degeneracy of the genetic code in two manners: having more than one tRNA (with a specific anti-codon) for a particular amino acid; and 'wobble' base-pairing, i.e. permitting non-standard base-pairing at the 3rd anti-codon position. Lineage: Eukaryota; Metazoa; Arthropoda; Arachnida; Pseudoscorpiones; Chernetidae. The record is from RNAcentral.
UCCAGGGUAGCCUAGUGAACAUGGCACCUGCCCGGUAAGCAGAAGGUUGUGGGUUCGAUUCCCGCCCCUGGAC